RNAcentral lists this ribosomal RNA (253 nucleotides) under uncultured bacterium. Its description in RNAcentral is "partial 16S ribosomal RNA". It matches the Rfam family "Bacterial small subunit ribosomal RNA", at positions 524 to 776 of the family's 1533-position model. The record is from RNAcentral.
UACGUAGGGGGCUAGCGUUGUCCGGAAUCAUUGGGCGUAAAGCGCGUGUAGGCGGUCCGGUAAGUCCGCUGUGAAAGUCGGGGGCUCAACCCUCGGAUGCCGGUGGAUACUGUCGGGCUUGAGUCCGGAAGAGGCGAGUGGAAUUCCUGGUGUAGCGGUGAAAUGCGCAGAUAUCAGGAGGAACACCAAUGGCGAAGGCAGCUCGCUGGGACGUGACUGACGCUGAGACGCGAAAGCGUGGGGAGCAAACAGG